RNAcentral lists this non-coding RNA (358 nucleotides) under Pasteurellaceae bacterium I8. The record is from RNAcentral. Lineage: Bacteria; Pseudomonadati; Pseudomonadota; Gammaproteobacteria; Pasteurellales; Pasteurellaceae.
GGGCUGAUUCUGGAUUCGACGGGAUUAGCGAAGUCCAAGGUGCACGUCGAGGUGCGGUAGGCCUUUGUAAGCCGGGUUCUGUCGUGGACAAUCAUUCCUCUAGGCUUGCAUUUACACACAAGCUCAAGCAACCUACCCGAACUCUCGGCGGGCCACCGAUUGAGUUCCUAUUUGGUCUUGCUACGAGUGGAGUUUACCUAGCUGCCAAAUGUUACCACUGGCACGGUGCGCUCUUACCGCCCCCUUUCACCCUUACCAGCCAAAGCUGGCGGUCUGCUCUCUGUUGCACUAGUCGUAGGCUCGCGCCCCCCGGACGUUAUCCGGCACUCUGCCCUAUGUAGCCCGGACUUUCCUCCCA